UUUGGAGAGUUUGAUCCUGGCUCAGGAUGAACGCUGGCGGCACGCCUAACACAUGCAAGUCGAACGAAAAUUUAGAUUUUAGAUUUUAGAUGUUAGAAUUUCGAUUUAUUCGAAUCUCUAACAUCUAUCGUCUAGCUUCUACUUUUUAGUGGCGGACGGGUGAGUAACACGUUGGAACCUGCCCCGAAGAGGGGGAUAACCAUCCGAAAGGGUGGCUAAUACCCCAUAUACUCCGAUUUAUUCGGAGGAAAGCUUUCGCGCUUCGGGAGGGGCCUGCGUAACAUUAGCUUGUUGGUGAGGUAAAAGCUCACCAAGGCUACGAUGUUUAGCUGGUUUGAGAGGAUGAUCAGCCACACUGGGACUGAGAUACGGCCCAGACUCCUACGGGAGGCAGCAGUGAGGAAUAUUCCACAAUGGGGGAAACCCUGAUGGAGCGAUGCCGCGUGCAGGAAGACGCUUUUCGGAGUGUAAACUGCUUUUAACAGGGAAGAUUAUGACGGUACCUGUAGAAUAAGGACCGGCUAACUACGUGCCAGCAGCCGCGGUAAUACGUAGGGUCCAAGCGUUAUUCGGAAUUACUGGGCGUAAAGCGUUCGUAGGCGGUUUGAUAAGUUGGAUGUGAAAUCCUGUGGCUCAACCACAUGGACUGUGUCCAAAACUAUCUAACUAGAGCAUAGUAGAGGCAAGUGGAAUUUCUGGUGUAGGAGUGACAUCCGUAGAUAUCAGAAGGAACACCAAUGGCGAAGGCAGCUUGCUGGGCUAUUGCUGACGCUCAGGAACGAAAGCGUGGGGAGCGAACGGGAUUAGAUACCCCGGUAGUCCACGCCGUAAACGAUGAUCACUAACAGUAUGGAGAUUCGACCCUCUGUGUUGUAAAGCUAACGCGUUAAGUGAUCCGCCUGGGGAGUNNNNNNNNNNCAAGGUUAAAACUCAAAGGAAUUGACGGGGACCCGCACAAGCAGUGGAGGAUGUGGUUUAAUUCGACGCCAAGCGAAGAACCUUACCGAGGUUUGACAUCCCAGGAAAUCAAGCGAAAGCUAGAUGUGCCUUCGGGAACCUGGUGACAGGUGCUGCAUGGCCGUCGUCAGCUCGUGUCGUGAGAUGUUGGGUUAAGUCCCGCAACGAGCGCAACCCUCGUCGUAAGUUAGUAUGUCUUACGAGACCGCCUGGGUUAACCAGGAGGAAGGUGGGGAUGACGUCUGGUCAGCAUGGCCCUUACACCUCGGGCUACACACGUCCUACAAUGGCCGUUACAACGCGCUAGCCAAGCCGUAAGGCGGAGCGAAUCGCAUCAAAAGCGGCCUCAGUUCGGAUUGAGGGCUGAAA
RNAcentral lists this ribosomal RNA (1326 nucleotides) under uncultured bacterium. Its description in RNAcentral is "bacterial SSU rRNA". It matches the Rfam family "Bacterial small subunit ribosomal RNA", at positions 1 to 1310 of the family's 1533-position model. The record is from RNAcentral.